Molecule: ribosomal RNA, 498 nt
Filed under: uncultured bacterium
Lineage: Bacteria
Description: partial 16S ribosomal RNA
Rfam family: Bacterial small subunit ribosomal RNA
Source: RNAcentral
AUUGAACGCUGGCGGCAUGCCUUACACAUGCAAGUCGAACGGUAACAGGUCUCCGGAUGCUGACGAGUGGCGAACGGGUGAGUAAUACAUCGGGACGUGCCUAGUAGUGGGGGAUAACUACUCGAAAGAGUGGCUAAUACCGCAUGAGAUCUACGGAUGAAAGCAGGGGAUCGCAAGACCUUGUGCUACUAGAGCGGCCGAUGGCAGAUUAGGUAGUUGGUGGGAUAAAAGCUUACCAAGCCGACGAUCUGUAGCUGGUCUGAGAGGACGAUCAGCCACACUGGGACUGAGAAACGGCCCAGACUCCUACGGGAGGCAGCAGUGGGGAAUUUUGGACAAUGGGCGCAAGCCUGAUCCAGCAAUGCCGCGUGCAGGAUGAAGGCCUUCGGGUUGUAAACUGCUUUUGUACGGAACGAAAAGCCCCGGGUUAAUACCCUGGGGUCAUGACGGUACCGUAAGAAUAAGCACCGGCUAACUACGUGCCAGCAGCCGCAGUAA